Small nuclear RNA from Otolemur garnettii (small-eared galago), 107 nucleotides. Lineage: Eukaryota; Metazoa; Chordata; Mammalia; Primates; Galagidae. The record is from Ensembl.
GUGCUUGCUUUGGCAGCACAUAUACUAAAAUUGGAAUGAUACAGAGAAGAUUAGCAUGGCCCCUGCACAAGGAUGACAUGCAAAUUUGUGAAGUGUUCCAUAUUUUA